Long non-coding RNA from Cygnus olor (mute swan), 1446 nucleotides. RefSeq lists it as uncharacterized. The record is from RefSeq and is a predicted model, not a curated record. Lineage: Eukaryota; Metazoa; Chordata; Aves; Anseriformes; Anatidae. The transcript is spliced from 2 exons.
CAGCCUCAGUGAUCCCUGGCAAGUGCAGAACCGGUGGGAUGUCCAGAACUGCCGACCAAACAUCACAGAAAUGAGCUAACCCUACAGCUCAGGGCUCUCCCCUUCGUAUCCCACACAGAUCUGGAACACGAGAAUUUCUAGACACACCAACAAAGACUUUCCUCUCCUGAGCCCAUGGGCAGUCUCCCUGCAGUCCCCUGGUGGGGCUGCUUUAAGUAGCUUUAUUUUGACGAAAGCUGCAGCAUUUGGGAGGCUGUUUCCCUGCAUUUCAGAGGUGCUAUGGGAAGGGGCAGGGCGGCAGCUGAUACACGGUGGGCUCUGCAGAGCAAUUCAGAAGGAUGCUGUAUGCCUGAGAUCCCCAGGGGCAUCCCAGCAGGCGUACAGCCCUGCAUCCCCUGCCCUCGAGGCACAGCCACGCUCCGGAUCCCGCAGCCACCACCCUGUGCUUUGCCCUGGGCUCGCACUCAUCCCAGCGCCUGCAGCCUCGUGAAGCUCCGUGCUGCUCUCCUGGGCCCAGGGACAAAGAGCACCCACGCCCCAGGGGUGGGCCGGGACGCCCUCCCUGCGUCACGCCUUGCACCCACCACCUACGCAGGCAGCGGCGCGAGCUGCCGUGCUGCCCUCACCGCGGUGCUGCUCCCCCACCGCCGCAUGCAUGGCUUCCCUGCAGUCAGCCCCACGCUCCGCUCCCGUGCGGGGACGGACCCUCAGGAUGCCAGAUUCGGUUUAACAGCGUCUCAAUACCGAGCUGAGCUGUGAUGCUUCGACCUCGGUGACUUCCAGUGGCUACGGAAGCACAGCCGGCUCUCACCGUGACUCACGCACGGCUAAGUGAUUUUCCCCCUGAGCCCAACACAAACCGCUGCCUCCAGCCAGGCAGGCUUCUUCCUACGUAUGGCGUUUUUAUUGCCCCGAAGCCUCACCAGCACCACGCUGCAGCCUCGCUGAAACGCGGUGCACACAUGCACAUACACGAUCCCAGCCCUGCUCCUACAGGCUGCAGCGGCUCCAGGCAGAGGGAGCGAGCUACCUCCACCCCUUGUACAGAGGCACGGCUGACAAACAUCCAUCGCUGGAAAUCCCAAAUAGGCUUCCAACUCUGGGUGAAUAGGGAAGGUAAUUGCUAAUGAAAUCAAGCCAUAGAUCACCGAUAAGGGUCCAAAAGCCCAGCCUGAACACUAAGCACCAACACGAGGGCCAGCAGCCCUCCCGGCCAGGACGAGCACCCCCUGGUCCCUGCUGGCCAGGGUUGCUCAGGCAGCAGCACCAUUUCUGGGCUUAUUUACCAUCUCUGCACCAAAUUUCUCCAAAGGCGCAAGGAUCAUCAUCAGCUAAACGCAAAGCAGCAGCAGGAGGAAGAGAAGGCACGGAAGGGAAGAGAGGAGCUGAUACAACCACAGACAACAUCGGCAUGGAAAGCUGAAGGAAACAAAGGGCUUGGGAAAA